Molecule: unclassified non-coding RNA, 253 nt
Filed under: uncultured Caryophanales bacterium
Lineage: Bacteria; Bacillati; Bacillota; Bacilli; Caryophanales
Description: uncultured Bacillales bacterium contains 16S-23S intergenic spacer region
Rfam family: Bacterial small subunit ribosomal RNA
Source: RNAcentral
UACGUAGGUGGCAAGCGUUGUCCGGAUUUAUUGGGCGUAAAGCGCGCGCAGGCGGUUUCUUAAGUCUGAUGUGGAAGCCCCCGGUUUAACCGGGGAGGGUCAUUGGAAACUGGGAGACUUGAGUGCAGAAGAGGAAAGUGGAAUUCCAAGUGUAGCGGUGAAAUGCGUAGAGAUUUGGAGGAACACCAGUGGCGAAGGCGACUUUCAGGUCUGUAACUGACGCUGAGGAGCGAAGGCGUGGGGAGCGAACAGG